This is a non-coding RNA of Podarcis lilfordi (Lilford's wall lizard), 74 nucleotides long. The record is from the annotation of a GenBank genome assembly. NCBI's taxonomy places the organism in Eukaryota, Metazoa, Chordata, Lepidosauria, Squamata, Lacertidae.
UCCUCGAUAGCUCAUUUGGUUAGAGCGUGGUGCUGAUAAUGCCAAGGUUACAGGUUCGAUCCCCAUACGGGGCA